This 362-nucleotide long non-coding RNA is filed under the name Penaeus japonicus. RNAcentral's name for it is "uncharacterized LOC122256860". The record is from RNAcentral. Lineage: Eukaryota; Metazoa; Arthropoda; Malacostraca; Decapoda; Penaeidae.
CUUCAAUAGAGAGCGUAUAGCUUGGAGAGAGAACGGCAGUGUAUAGUGUGUGUGUUAGGACCUCAUCCCUAUCAGCUGAAGACAUGGCUCAAGAUCAAUUAAGCCAGAUGGAAACUGCCUCUUCUUCGUAAUGGCCACCGUGAUUGGAUACUGCAAUUAUUCUUAUCGAACGCGAAGCUGAUGAUUUCAAGAACUGUUCCCGAAGGAUUGUGUUCUUCAUAUACAUUACGUGGGAGGAAUUUCACAUGAUUCCUUAUGUUAUGGAUUUGUGAUGUGUCUUACUAUUGAUGCUAUGAUAAAGGAAUUUAGUCUUACUUUUUAUUCUGUAUGUUCUCUUAUUUCACAAUAAAUGUAUUUUUUUC